UUUUCCAGUUAACAUUACAUACAGUCUGCAGUUAAAGUUUAUAAAACAUUUAUUAGAUUCAUACACUAUCCUGGAUUUUUUACCAAACUUGGAAGCUUCUUUCAAACAAAAGACAGUAUCGAGAGGGAAAUUUUUAUUGAUGUUUUUCCUCAUUUUUGUUGAGUCUGCGAUUACCAGCAAAAGUAGGCGAGACACUGGGUUCCGUGGAACCCUUACGAAUUUUACUCAAAAAGUAGCACAUGAAGGUAUAUUUUAUUGUAGUUUCCAGUCAAUAAUUUGUGUUUAAGUGUAUAAAUCUCUCUGAAAUUAUACCACAAGUUUCCUUACUACAAAGGGUUGGUUAUGAGGGGUUAUGGCUCAAAUCAUUUAGCAGUUUAGGGGGAAAACAAGGGUUUUACUGGCAAUUUAAAAGUAGUGUAAGGGAGGUAAGCCAAUUCCAUUUAAAGAGUACUGUUAUAUAUGUUUGAUUACCUCCCUUACACUGCUUCAAAAUUAUGUAUAAAGAAAUGAUGAUUGUCUUGUGAGAUGAUUAGCUGCAAA
Molecule: long non-coding RNA, 540 nt
Filed under: Mytilus galloprovincialis (Mediterranean mussel)
Lineage: Eukaryota; Metazoa; Mollusca; Bivalvia; Mytilida; Mytilidae
Source: RNAcentral